Molecule: ribosomal RNA, 255 nt
Filed under: uncultured bacterium
Lineage: Bacteria
Description: partial 16S ribosomal RNA
Rfam family: Bacterial small subunit ribosomal RNA
Source: RNAcentral
UACGGGGGGAGCAAGCGUUGUUCGGAUUUACUGGGCGUAAAGGGCGCGUAGGCGGUCGUGACAAGUCACUUGUGAAAUCUCCGGGCUUAACUCGGAACGGUCAAGUGAUACUGUCGGACUAGAGUACAGAAGGGGCAACUGGAAUUCUCGGUGUAGCGGUGAAAUGCGCAGAUAUCGGGAGGAACACCUAUGGCGAAGGCAGCUCGCUGGGACGUUAGCUGACGCUGAGACGCGAAAGCGUGGGGAGCAAACAGG